GCUACAGAGAAAGGAGAUGAGUCACGAGCCUACACUGAGGCAGCAAGGAGAACCGAGACUGCAGCCCUCCCUCCCUCUCGUCCUGUCCUUCCCGAGCCUGCCCUCGCUGAGCAUCCCUUCCUUUACUUGUUCUUGCUAGGAAGGUCACAAGCCUGAAACCUCUAAACAGGGUCAAGAGGCACAGUGUUAUGCUCCCUGCGGCGGUCACAGCAGCCCACGGACCUGCGGUGUUCACAAGACACUUUUCUUCCACUUGUCGGAGCGGGCGGUGCCUCGUGAGUGCCUCUCUCUUCCGGGAUGAAAUGUUGAUGAGUCCCAUCUUGGACAAAUAACAGCUUCGGUGAUUUCACAGGAGUGUGCGUCUUGUCCGGGAGGCGACAUUUUGCAGCAGCAUCCUCCCCAUCCUCCAGCUCUGAUGUCAUUUCCACCUUCCCUUCACGGUGUCCCCUUGAGCCUUGGAGGCCGGUGAUGUGGAUGCCCCCAUUUAGGCCACAGCACACAGCUCACUCCUCAGUGUUAUCAGGUGUUUCCGGGCUCUUGGCCUCGUACCCAAAGAACUGCAAGCCCGCAGGUCAGCACGGAAGACUUGGAGCAGUAAUCAGGAAGAUACAGAAAAGUCCCCCUGGCAAGUUCGACAGCGCCCGCGGGACAGGGUCUAUUAUGUUGCUCUACCUGUCCUGGAACACCAUAUACAGACCAGGCUGGCCCGGAAGUACCAGAGAUCCUCCUGCCUCUGCUUCCUGUGUGCUGGGAUCAAAAGUGUGAGCCUCCACCAUACCAUACCCAGCUUUAAUAAAUUCAUUCUCUCUCUCUCUCUCUCUCUCU
Molecule: long non-coding RNA, 825 nt
Organism: Apodemus sylvaticus (European woodmouse)
Lineage: Eukaryota; Metazoa; Chordata; Mammalia; Rodentia; Muridae
Exons: 3
Source: RefSeq, a predicted model, not a curated record